ACUCGCGAACCUCACAUGCAGAAUUAGCCAUGUGCACAGGCCUAAGAAGCCGAACGCGCGCCAUGCGUGGACAAGCCCGCGGAUGACCCGAGGGCCCAAGCCCGCCAGCCCAUGACUCUCGCAGGCCUUUUUUCGCAUAACCGGUGCAAACCGGCUAGCCCGGCCCAUUCGGGUAGCCCAACCGGUCGACCCCUCUUUUCCUUUAUUUUAAAAUAUUGUAUAAUAUUUAUUUUACUUU
Molecule: long non-coding RNA, 238 nt
Filed under: Carica papaya (papaya)
Lineage: Eukaryota; Viridiplantae; Streptophyta; Magnoliopsida; Brassicales; Caricaceae
Description: long non-coding RNA (CPAP_LNC010430)
Source: RNAcentral